Molecule: ribosomal RNA, 253 nt
Filed under: uncultured bacterium
Lineage: Bacteria
Description: partial 16S ribosomal RNA
Rfam family: Bacterial small subunit ribosomal RNA
Source: RNAcentral
UACGUAGGGGGCUAGCGUUGUCCGGAAUCAUUGGGCGUAAAGAGCGUGUAGGCGGUCCGGUAAGUCCGCUGUGAAAGUCGGGGGCUCAACCCUCGAAUGCCGGUGGAUACUGUCGGGCUAGAGUGCGGAAGAGGCGAGUGGAAUUCCUGGUGUAGCGGUGAAAUGCGCAGAUAUCAGGAGGAACACCGGUGGCGAAGGCGGCAUCCUGGACCGGCAUUGACGCUGAGGCGCGAAGGCCAGGGGAGCAAACGGG